RNAcentral lists this ribosomal RNA (252 nucleotides) under uncultured Bacteroidales bacterium. Its description in RNAcentral is "partial 16S ribosomal RNA". It matches the Rfam family "Bacterial small subunit ribosomal RNA", at positions 524 to 776 of the family's 1533-position model. Lineage: Bacteria; Pseudomonadati; Bacteroidota; Bacteroidia; Bacteroidales. The record is from RNAcentral.
UACGGAGGAUGCGAGCGUUAUCCGGAUUUAUUGGGUUUAAAGGGUGCGCAGGCGGACUGUUAAGCCGGCGGUCAAAUGUCGGGGCUCAACCCCGGCCUGCCGUCGGAACUGGGUGCCUUGAGUGGGCGAGAAGUAUGCGGAAUGCGUGGUGUAGCGGUGAAAUGCAUAGAUAUCACGCAGAACCCCGAUUGCGAAGGCAGCAUACCGGCGCCCGACUGACGCUGGGGCACGAAAGCGUGGGUAUCGAACAGG